GGCUGAUGGAGGAGUCUGGAGCAUCCUGCUGGACCACCGUCUCUUAGGCACUAUCUACAAUCUCCACUGAGCACUCAUACAAAAACAUCAACUUUAGUUUGUAAAAGAUACUGAGAUUGUCUGAAAAUAACUUAUAGCGUCUUUGUAAAAUCUUCCAGAAAAUAAAAGAAAGUAAGGUUCUCGAAACAAUUGUAAGAAAAUAUUCAUUUUAAUAUAUAUUUCCUGUUAGUAUUUAUGAGAGCAAUUAAUAUCUUUCAUUCAUAAUAUUAUCAUCAUCCCAAAUUACACCAAGAUAUAACGUCAUCACAUAUAUGUUUUACUUAAUCAUAAAUCACUGACAUAUGUUAAUCAUAUAUGCCAUGAAAGUAUGAACUUGUAUCUAUGCAUGCAUGCAUCUCCGGUUCUCUUUCUUUUGCUAUUGUGAACAGUUCACUGUAUAAUGCCCGUGUUUCCACAUGUCCUCAAAGGAUCCAUGUGUGUCUGGCCAGCUCCGUCUAUGUCCGACUAUGGAAAUCGGCUCCGUCUAUGUCCGACAUAAGUCGGCCCCGUCUAUGGCUGACAUAUAGUCUGCUCCGUAAUUACCCGUUGGUUCCAUAUAUAAAGGUGGCCAUUACACAAGUGACUGUCACUUUGACUUUUUAAGUUAUCACUGUCCAAUGAAUGUAAGAUGUGCAUAUGAUCUGUUCUAUAUGCAGACUCUAUGCCAAUGCACCAUUUGUGAAAUCACAGGUCAAUACACAUUUCAUAUAUACCUGUACUUCGAUAUAUCAUGACAUUACAUUGACAUCAAGGAACUUCAGUCAUGUAUAGAAUCACAUAGUCACAUUAGUAUUCUAAUAUAUCACUUUCAGCAUAUAGGAGCACGUAAUCACAUAUCACACAGAUAUAAGUAGUGUUGAUGUAUACUCACCUUACUUCAGCAACUCAAUCACAACUUCCUGUCCUUAAGGUCCUUCUGCACUUUUCUGUGCACCUAUAUAGGACACAAUUAACCAUUAAGAUCCUUUAUAACUUUAUAUCAUAGUGUGUGUACAUGUUACCUACCCUUAAAGUCCUCUCUAAUUACUCUUAUUGUUAAUCCUUUCAUUUAAAAGAGAUUUGACACUAACUGUUUCUUGUCUCACCUAUUGUUAAUAUAUAUACCUUUAGGUUCCGACAUUUUUCACUAAUAAACCAUUCGAGUUUUUCUUAUGAACCCAACUCGUAUACCUCCCAAUUUGUCCCGGGUAUUUACUCAAAUUAUUCCAUGAUUUAUAUCAUCUUUGAACUCGUCAAAUUGUAACCUCGAAGUUCAUUUCUUACGGGAACUAGGAUUCUGCGCGUCCUGUACUAAAAUGGCCAUAACUUCUAAACCGUAAAUCCGUUUUGCAUGAUUCAAGCGCUCACGCGAUCUACUAACCAAACUCUAUCCAGCCAUAUAAAAAAACCCUCUUAAAUUCGAAACUAAACUGUUCCGAUGAACAGUAACAGCGGCUGUUAUAUUAACUCGGGCAUGGUAACAGCUAUAAUCUUAACAUUUCCAUGAUUAAACUCAUAUUAAUCAUCAACCCAAACAAUUAUAUAACCUUCAAAUCAUCAUAUCAUACUCAUAUCAGAUCAUCCUUUCAAACCCAAUCAAGAACAACAACUUUACAAGCUUAAACAAUAAUCCAAACAUGUAAACAUGCUUAUUAUAACACCAUAACCUCCUAGUAAUUAUCUUAAGAUUUAUUGAAAUUCUUCCACCAAGAACAUCACUAUUCAUAGCUAUAAUCAACCCUCUUUUUGAACACGUUAAUGAUUACGAAUUUAAGAAACAUACCUCUUGAAUUAAAGGUCUUGAAGAGAUCUUUCCAACAAGCUAUAGAACACGAAAGACCGAGCUAGAAAUCUUUUUCUAUGAAUUUUUCUUGAUUUUUUUCUUAUUUUCUUUCUUCCUUCACUUCGGCAGCAGAUGAAACUGAAGUCUGUAUACUUUGCUUUCAUUUUGGUUUCCUAUUAACUUGAUCAACCAAUCAGAGUGUGCCACCCUGCAAGAAUAUUCCUUUGAAUAUGCUUUUUGGAUAAUUAUCUAUUCCAUGUCCUUAAAUUCUUGAAAUCUUAAAUUAAAUCUCACUAUUCUUGAUCUCGUUGACGAAUUCCGACGAUAUAAUAAUUCCUAGUAUAUUAUUUGGGAAUUUUUGACUGUAAAAUGAGCUCAUUUGGAGUCCGGAAAUUUUUCACUUUUUCUUAGGGAUGUAUCGGUCUGAUAUUUUUCCACUGAUCCCUGUCCACUCUUAAUCUCGAGAUUUUUCUUCAAACUCAAUAUAGGAAUGUUCUAGAGACUCCAAAGAUCAUAAACGUACUAACCUUCUCUUCAGUAUUCCUUCUGAAAUUCCGCUGGUUUAGUUUAAAGGUCAUUUUGCAGUCCGGAAAUCUUGGGUAUCCGGCUCCUUUAUUCCUUUUCAUUUUAACUUCCUUGAGCUUCGUAAAAUUUCCGAAAAUUCAUAAAUGAGUUCCACAAUUUAUUUAGAUACUCUAGGAAAAUUCUUGGCUCAUUUUGUGUCUUUUCUAUUUUCACCUAUUUUCUAAUAACUGGAUUUUAUAAUCACAGUUCGGUGCAAAAUCAUACAAUUCUGACCGUACUUUUGUUCACUAUUUCUCCGCUCUGGUAAUUUAUAAAAUAUCUAAAAAUUAUUCUGAGACUUUUAUUUUUACCCCUUCAUGUCCUUUCUCCUUUAUAGGGUCACCUUACUAUUCGCAAAUUCCUUAUAAAUCCUAAAACAAAAUAUUUUUGUUAAAUCUAAAAAUCCCGAAAACUAUUUUAAUACAUUCAAAAGUAUUAUAUAAGCAUUUGUUUGGGACCAGGGUGUGACAACUCUUCCCCCCUUAAAGAAUUUUGUCCUCAAAAUUCAAAAAUAUACCUGGAUUGUCGAAUAGGUGAGGGUACUUGCUUCUCAUAUGCUCCUCUGUCUCCCAUGUGGCUUCUUCCACUGCGUGGUUUCUCCAUAGUACUUUGACUAGCGGUAUUUCUCUAUUCCUCAGUUGUUUGGUCUUGUGCCCUAUUAUCUUGACAGGUUCUUCAAUGUAACUCAAAUUGUCAUUGAUUUCUAUCCCGGGGUCCUUCAAAACGUGUGUAGGAUCUGACCUAUAUCUUCGUAACAUGCUUACAUGAAAUACAUCAUGGAUUUGAGAAAGUUCUGGGGGCAAUGCUAAUCUAUAGGCAAGUGGUCCUAUCUUCUCAAUUAUUUCAUAUGGUCCAAUAUACCUAGGACUCAACUUCCCUUUAUUGCUGAAUCUCAUCACCCCUUUCCAUGGCGAUACUUUCAGAAAUACUUUAUCACCUACUUGAUAUUCCAUCUCUCUUCUAUUUUGAUCCUCAUAACUUUUCUGUCGAUCUUGGGUAGCCUUCAGCUUUGCUUUUACAAUGUUUACCUUAUCUACUGCAUUCUGGACAAGUUCUGGCCCUUCUAAAAUGAUAGUACCUUCUUUAUCCCAGUACAAGGGACUUCUGCACUUCCGUCCAUACAAGGCUUCAUAAGGUGCCAUUCCAAUACUGCUAUGGAAAUGAUUGUUGUAGGCGAAUUCCAUCAAAGCAAUAUAUUCAUCCCAUGAACCUUUAAACUCAAUCACACACGCUCUUAACAUUUCCUCUAACGUUUGAAUGGUUCUUUCAGAUUGCCCAUCAGUCUGAGGAUGAAAGGCUGUACUAAAAUUCAAUCUUGUACCCAUUGCUUCUUGUAAACUUUUCCAAAAUCUAGAAGUAAAUCUUGGAUCUCUAUCUGAAACAAUGGAUAUUGGUACUCCAUGUAAUCGUACAAUCUCAUUCACAUACCUUUGAGCUAAAUGAUCUAGUGUGCAACCCCAACGUAUUGGUAGAAAAUGAGCUGAUUUGGUAAGUCGAUCAACAAUGAUCCAUAUUGCAUCAUUUCCCUUCCUUGUCUUGGGUAAAUUUGUUACAAAAUCCAUAGUGAUCUUUUCCCACUUCCACUCAGGAAUCGACAACGGAUGUAACUUCCCAGCUGGAGCUUGAUGUUCCACUUUCACUUGUUGACACGUUAAACAUUUGGCUGUAAACUCUGCCACAUCUCUUUUCAUUCCAGACCACCAAUAAUGAGAUUUCAUCGUAUUAUACAUUUUUGUUGCUCCGGGAUGCAUGGCAUAUGGAGCAUUAUGAGCUUCAUCUAGAAUUUCUCGUCUUAAGUCUUCAUCAUUUGGAACACAAAUUCUGUUUCCUAACAUUAAAGUAUCCUCAUAUAACGUGAACUGCGUUUCUUGACNNNNNNNNNNNNNNNNNNNNNNNNNNNNNNNNNNNNNNNNNNNNNNNNNNNNNNNNNNNNNNNNNNNNNNNNNNNNNNNNNNNNNNNNNNNNNNNNNNNNNNNNNNNNNNNNNNNNNNNNNNNNNNNNNNNNNNNNNNNNNNNNNNNNNNNNNNNNNNNNNNNNNNNNNNNNNNNNNNNNNNNNNNUCAUCGAUGAAUACUCCGACUUAAAGCGUCUGCCACUAUAUUGGCCUUUCCUGGGUGAUAUUCUAACGUACAAUCAUAAUCCUUUAAAAGUUCCACCCAUCUUCUCUGUCUCAUAUUCAACUCUUUCUGACUCAUUAAAUACUUUAGACUCUUAUGGUCUGUAAAAAUCUGAAAUGUCUCCCCGUAUAAGUAAUGCCUCCAAAUUUUCAAUGCAAAAACAAUUGCUGCCAAUUCUAGAUCAUGUACAGGAUAUGACUUUUCAUGCGGUCUGAGCUGUCUUGAAGCAUAAGCUAUAACUUUUCCAUAUUGCAUAAGGACACAUCCUAAGCCUUGUUGUGACGCAUCACUAUAUACUACAAAACCACCUUGUCCUGAGGGUGUAGUCAACACUGGAGCGGAUGUCAAUCUUCGCUUUAAUUCAUCAAAACUUUGUUGAGCUUCUUCAGUCCAUUGAAAAGGAACAUUCUUUCUGAGUAAUUUGGUCAUUGGUCCGGCAAUCUUAGAAAAUCCUUCAACAAAACGUCUGUAAUAACCAGCCAUUCCUAGGAAACUCCUCACUUCUGUAACAUUCUUGGGUACUUCCCAAUUCCAUAUAGCCUCUAUUUUCUUUGGGUCCACUUCAAUUCCUUUACUAGAAAUAACAUGUCCUAGGAAUACGACAUGGUCCAACCAAAACUCACAUUUACUCAACUUAGCAUAUAAUUGGUUUUCUCUUAAGAUUUGUAACGCUGUUCUUAAAUGCUCUUCGUGCUCCGAUUUACUCUUUGAAUAUACCAAUAUAUCAUCGAUGAAUACUAUAACAAAUUUAUCCAGAAAAGGUUGAAACACUUUGUUCAUAAGUGCCAUAAACACAGCUGGAGCAUUUGUUAACCCAAACGGCAUAACUAGAAAUUCAAAGUGACCAUAUCUAGUUCGGAAAGCAGUCUUUGGGAUAUCUUCCUUGGCAAUCUUCAAUUGAUGAUAUCCUGAUCUCAAAUCAAUCUUUGAAAACACUUGAGCCCCUUGUAAUUGAUCAAAUAAGUCAUCUAUUCUUGGUAAUGGAUAUUUGUUCUUAACCGUGACUUGAUUUAAUUUUCGAUAAUCGAUACAUAGCCUCAUAGUUCCAUCCUUCUUUUUGACAAAUAAUACUGGCGCUCCCCAUGGUGAAACACUUGGGCGGAUAAAACCUUUUUCCAAUAAUUCUAUCAACUGCUUCUUUAACUCUUUUAACUCUACGGGUGCCAUUCGGUAAGGAGGAAUAGAAAUAGGGGUACUACCAGGAACUGUCUCAAUACUAAACUCUAUGUCUCUAUCCGGCGGCAUUCCUGGCAAAUCAUCUGGAAACACAUCUGGGAAUUCUCGAACUAUUGGAAUAUUCUCAAGUUUAGUUGAGGUAAUGUUCGGGUCUACCACGUGCGCUAAAUACGCUUCACAGCCCUUUCUAAUCAUCUUAAAAGCACUCAUAGCCGAAAUUAAACAACUAAGUAUCAUCCUACAUUCUCCUUGAAAUACGACUAUCCCUUGUCCUGGUGACUCGAUCGUAACUUCUUUAGCGUAACAAUCAACUUUAGCAUGAUGUCUUGUCAACCAAUCCAUGCCUAGUAUGAUAUCAAACUCUUGAAAAGGCAAUACUAUCAAGUCUGCUUUUAAUUCCGUAUUUCCUAUUUCGAUAGGACAGUCUCUAUAUAUUUGAUCUACUACUUCCACUUCUCCUAGUGGUGUAUGAACAUUUACUUUGAGAUCUAGUAUUUCAUGACUUCUAUGCAAGUGAGAUGUCAUUUUAGAUGAUAUGAAUGAAUGUGUUGAACCAGGGUCGAUAAGAGCAUACGCAUCUAAUUGAUAUAAGAGAACUUUACCCGUUAUAACCUCAGGUGCAACUUCUGCCUCUCCUCUCGUUAAUGCAAAAACUCGUGCCUGGGUUGGUGGAUUUGAACUUUGAGCCUGUGAUCUUCCAAUGCCUCCCCCAGUGCUACCUGUACCCUUCUUGCCUCUACCUCUUCCAAAAGAUGUACCAACUCCUUUCACUUCUACAUUCUGAACACUUGGUUCAGAUACAGCCUGUACAUUUUCCCUUUUGUUGGGACAGUCUCUAAUGAAAUGGCCUUGUUCCCCACACAAAUAACAUCCUCCCGUUUGAGCUCUACAUUGCCCAAAAUGUUGCCUUCCGCAAGUUUGACAUGUAGGCUUCACCUGUACAUUUGAACCUCGGCUAAGAGUUGGAUUUGAUCGAGGGUUAUUCAAUCUCCCGCCUUGAGCACCAGAAAAACCUCCUCUUGUAAUAGAUUUAGUGGGUGCACUAACAUUUGGACGCUUCUUAGGCCUUCCACCAGCCUCUCCAGCAAAUCUUGUUUCUUCUCUCUUUGACUUUGAGAAGAAAGCAGGCUUCUCUUUAAUCAAGCGUUCAGCUCGAAUCGCUGCAGCCCUCAAAUCUGUAUAACUCCUAAGUUCUCCAAUAGUAAUUUUACUCCUGAUCUCAUACUUGAGACCUUCCUCAAAACGUCUACAUUUGUCCCUCUCAGUUGCCACCAUUGAUGAGGCAUAUCGGGACAAUUGGGUGAACUUGACUUCGUACUCAGCUACCGUCAUAUUUCCUUGCUUCAAAUUCAAGAACUCUCUUUGUUUCUCAUCCCUAUAGAUCUCUGGCAUAUACUUAUCUUUAAACUCUCGCUGAAAAUCAUCCCAAGUAAGUUUUGGUGGUUGAGCAUCUGAGUCAGGAACAGUCUCCCACCAAUCAUAAGCAUCAUCUUGGAGUAAGGAUACUGCAUAAUCAAACUUCUCUUCGUCUCCGCAAUGCAUCAUAUUAAACACUCUCUUUGUCCUUUUUAACCAUGACUCAGCUUCAGUUGGAUCUACAGUACCAUAGAAAUCAGUCGCCCCUAAUUUCCUAAGUUCUUUAUAAUUCCGUUUAACUGGUGCAUUCCUACGUACAACUUGGGGUUCUGACAUAGCUUGCUGCUCAGGUACUUGUCUUUCUACUUCUACAGUGGCCUCAUGCCUAGAUUCUUGUGGAAUAGGUAUAGACUCCUCGUGUCUAGACUCAUGUGGAGUAUGUGAUCCACUACCAGAUGGUUGGUGGUCAGCUGGACUCCUUUGUGCAGCCUGUUCAUUGGAUGCUCCUUCCAUCGCCUUCUGCACAUAUAAACAUAUCUUAGAUACUAUAUCACUCAAAAAUCCUAACCGUACUUCUAUGCCCUAGAGGUCAUAUCCCUGCUCUGAUACCAACUAAAUGUAACACCCUUGUACCAUAUAAUCAUUUUCAUGCACUUCUAGCAAAAUCAUGUAAUUUAAUAAUAUUAUGAAAUAUCUUUUCCUGUAUAAGUGGAUAAUAUAACCAUCAGCUAUUGCUUGGCUAUAUCUUGAUCUUCACCAGAACAUAAAAUCUCAACUACUUCAACAACAUUUACCAAGCAACAUAAAAUUUCAAUACAUUUCCAUCAUCCAUAUUCACCACACAUAUUCAGAAUUUAAACAUAAAUUUAUCUUCGUGAUUUCUUGCACACUUAGUAAGUCUAGAGUACAUAAACACAAUCUCUCAAACUACAUAUAUGUGCAUCGGCUGAUGGAGGAGUCUGGAGCAUCCUGCUGGACCACCGUCUCUUAGGCACUAUCUACAAUCUCCACUGAGCACUCAUACAAAACACUCUACUAACUAUUCAUAUCCUGGAAAAAUGAGCGAUUUCCAUGAGUCGCAACUCAAUGAAUAUACAUCAACUUUAGUUUGUAAAAGAUACUGAGAUUGUCUGAAAAUAACUUGUAGCGUCUUUGGUAAAAUCUUCCAGAAAAUAAAAGAAAGUAAGGUUCUCGAAACAAUUGUAAGAAAAUAUUCAUUUUAAUAUAUAUUUCCUGUUCGUAUUUAUGAGAGCAAUUAAUAUCUUUCAUUCAUAAUAUUAUCAUCAUCCCAAAUUACACCAAGAUAUAACAUCAUCACAUAUAUGUUUUACUUAAUCAUAAAUCACUGACAUAUGUUAAUCAUAUAUGCCAUGAAAGUAUGAACUUGUAUCUAUGCAUGCAUGCAUCUCUGUUUCUCUUUCUUUUGCUAUUGUGAACAGUUCACUGUAUAAUGCCCGUGUUUCCACAUGUCCUCAAAGGAUCCAUGUGUGUCUGGCCAGCUCCGUCUAUGUCCGACUAUGGAAAUCGGCUCCGUCUAUGUCCGACAAAAGUCGGCUACCAACUCCUUUCACUUCUACAUUCUGAACACUUGGUUCAGAUACAGCAUGUACAUUUUUUCCAUAUUCUCUAAUGAAAUGGCCUUGUUCCCCACACAAAUAACAUCCUCCCGUUUGAGCUCUACAUUGCCCAAAAUGUUGCCUUCCGCAAGUUUGACAUGUAGGCUUCACCUGUACAUUUGAACCUCGGCUAAGAGUUGGAUUUGAUCGAGGGUUAUUCAAUCUCCCACCUUGAGCACCAGAAAAACCUCCUCUUGUAAUAGAUUUAGUGGGUGCACUAACAUUUGGACGCUUCUUAGGCCUUCCACCAGCCUCUCCAGCAAAUCUUGUUUCUUCUCUCUUUGACUUUGAGAAGAAAGCAGGCUUCUCUUUAAUCAAGCGUUCAGCUCGAAUCGCUGCAGCCCUCAAAUCUGUAUAACUCCUAAGUUCUCCAAUAGUAAUUUUACUCCUGAUCUCAUACUUGAGACCUUCCUCAAAACGUCUACAUUUGUCCCUCUCAGUUGCCACCAUUGAUGAGGCAUAUCGGGACAAUUGGGUGAACUUGACUUCGUACUCAGCUACCGUCAUAUUUCCUUGCUUCAAAUUCAAGAACUCUCUUUGUUUCUCAUCCCUAUAGAUCUCUGGCAUAUACUUAUCUUUAAACUCUCGCUGAAAAUCAUCCCAAGUAAGUUUUGGUGGUUGAGCAUCUGAGUUAGGAACAGUCUCCCACCAGUCAUAAGCAUCAUCUUGGAGUAAGGAUACUGCAUAAUCAAACUUCUCUUCGUCUCCACAAUGCAUCAUAUUAAACACUCUCUUUGUCCUUUUUAACCAUGACUCAGCUUCAGUUGGAUCUAUGGUACCAUAGAAAUCAGUCGCCCCUAGCUUCCUAAGUUCUUUAUAAUUCCGUUUAACUGGUGCAUUCCUACGAACAACUUGGGGUUCUGACAUAGCUUGCUGCUCAGGUACUUGUCUUUCUACUUCUACAGUGGCCUCAUGCCUAGAUUCUUGUGGAAUAGGUAUAGACUCCUCGUGUCUAGACUCAUGUGGAGUAUGUGAUCCACUACCAGAUGGUUGGUGGUCAGCUGGACUCCUUUGUGCAGCCUGUUCAUUGGAUGCUCCUUCCAUCGCCUUCUGCACAUAUAAACAUAUCUUAGAUACUAUAUCACUCAAAAAUCCUAACCGUACUUCUAUGCCCUAGAGGUCAU
Molecule: long non-coding RNA, 9753 nt
Filed under: Daucus carota (carrot)
Lineage: Eukaryota; Viridiplantae; Streptophyta; Magnoliopsida; Apiales; Apiaceae
Description: long non-coding RNA (DCAR_LNC004204)
Source: RNAcentral